GUGAGUGUGAGAUUGAGAGAGAGGAUGAGAGGGGAAGUAACAAAAGUGAAAACAAAAAUUUGAAAGUGAAAACAAUUUCAAAUAUAGAUUUCAGUUUUUUAAUUUUUUUUUCCAGUUUUGUUACUUCUCCCUCCCAUCCUCCCCUCUCAUCUUCCCUCUAAAU
Molecule: microRNA precursor, 163 nt
Filed under: Prunus dulcis (almond)
Lineage: Eukaryota; Viridiplantae; Streptophyta; Magnoliopsida; Rosales; Rosaceae
Description: sRNA ncRNA
Source: RNAcentral